RNAcentral lists this ribosomal RNA (1017 nucleotides) under Triticum aestivum (bread wheat). RNAcentral describes it as "partial small subunit ribosomal RNA". Lineage: Eukaryota; Viridiplantae; Streptophyta; Magnoliopsida; Poales; Poaceae. The record is from RNAcentral.
AUGGAAGGGAAAAAGCCGGCCAAGGUGCCGGAUCUUCUCCUUCCAGAAGUGGAGCUCCUCGAGAUAGCUGCGGAAGGGGCCCCUCCGCUCCCCCGCAAGGACGCCAUCGAGCUGGGCUCCUCUGGAGGUAUUCUAACUGCUUGGGACGGUAAUCUCUGGACUUGCUCCUCGGUAUCUAAAAAUCAGUUCUUCAUCUCUUGCUCCUUUGAAUCCAAGGUGGAUGACCUCUCAUUUACCUUAACUAAUGUGUACGGCCCUUGCGACCCGUCUGAAAAACAUGCUUUCUUAGACUUGCUCAUAAGUCUCUCUUCCGCAAUUACCCCCUGGGCUAUCAUUGGCGACUUCAACCUCAUCCUCCGCCGCUCAGAUAAAUCUUCCCCAAACUUCAACUCGAUUGAGGCCAUGCUUUUCUCUGACGCUAUCCAAUCCAUGAGACUGCAAGACCUCCCCCUCCUCGACCGGCGCUAUACUUGGUCCAACCAACAAGACGCUCCCAUCCUCGUAUGUUUAGACCGGGCUCUAGUCAACGUGGCAUGGGUUCAACACUUCCCAGAUAGCUCUCUCACCUCCUCCACUCGAUCCACGUCAGACCACGUCCCAAUCCAACUGUCGGUGGCCACUCAAAUCCCAAAGCCCCAGAUCUUCCGGCUCAAUAAUGCCCUUCUAGCCAAUCCCUCUUUCCGGAUCAAGGUGGCUUCAAACUGGGCCAGCGUAGGGUCCCGUCACCUGGAGAGGGGUUCGGUUGGGAUGCUUGCCUUGCGCCUCAAGCGAACUCGAGAUAUGGUCAAGAAGUGGUCAGCUAACUUUCGUCUACCCACUACUUUGGCAAAGAACUGCCACACCACGAUCAACCUCUUAGAUAAGAUGGAAGAAUCCCGCAUGCUUUCACCCAUUGAGCUUCAUCUUCGGACCGCAGUCAAAUUAUCCUUACACCGCUACAAUGCCGAUCUGGCUGCCUACUGGCGGCAACGAGCUAAAAUCAAAGACUGCGUUCUUGGUGACGAAAAUUCGGCCUAA